GAUGUUGGUUAAGUCCGCAACGAGCGCAACCCCUAUUGUUAGUUGCCAUCAUUCAGUUGGGCACUCUAGCGAGACUGCCGGUAAUAAACCGGAGGAAGUGGGGAUGACGUCAAAUCAUCAUGCCCCUUAUGACCUGGGCUACACACGUGCUACAAUGGUUGGUACAACGAGUUGCGAGUCGGUGACGGCGAGCUAAUCUCUUAAAGCCAAUCUCAGUUCGGAUUGUAGGCUGCAACUCGCCUACAUGAAGUCGGAAUCGCUAGUAAUCGCGGAUCAGCACGCCGCGGUGAAUACGUUCCCGGGCCUU
Molecule: ribosomal RNA, 307 nt
Filed under: uncultured Streptococcus sp.
Lineage: Bacteria; Bacillati; Bacillota; Bacilli; Lactobacillales; Streptococcaceae
Description: bacterial SSU rRNA
Rfam family: Bacterial small subunit ribosomal RNA
Source: RNAcentral